This is a non-coding RNA of Bacillus thuringiensis serovar pondicheriensis BGSC 4BA1, 168 nucleotides long. NCBI's taxonomy places the organism in Bacteria, Bacillati, Bacillota, Bacilli, Caryophanales, Bacillaceae. The record is from Rfam.
AACAACGGAUUGACCGAAAGUAGGAAUGAAAGCCGUCAAGUUGAGCUGAAACUACUUAUCUGAUACUCCUACAUGCAAGGCGUGAUAGUAGUUAAAAAUAGGUGAAGUCGGCUGAACAAAGCCUAAGUGAUUAAUCAUAUGGUAAUGGAUAAAUUGGGAUGCUACAAA